GAUGAAGAACGCAGCGAAAUGCGAUACUUGGUGUGAAUUGCAGAAUCCCGUGAACCAUCGAGUCUUUGAACGCAAGUUGCGCCCGAAGCCAUCAGGUUGAGGGCACGUCUGCCUGGGCGUCACAUAUCGUUGCCCAAUGCCUAUUGCAGUGCAAUAGGAAUUUCUAGGGCGAAUGAUGGCUUCCCGUGAGCGUUGUUGCCUCGCGGUUGGUUGAAAAUCGAGACCUUGGUAGGGUGUGCCAUGGUAGAUGGUGGUCGAGUUAGAACGAUACCGAUCAUGUGCAUGCUCCCCAAAAUAUGGCCUCUAUGACCCACACGCGUCUUUUGACGCUCAUGACGAGACCUCAGGUCAGGCGGGGCUACCCGCUGAAUUUAAGCAUAUCAAUAAGCGGAGGA
This 395-nucleotide unclassified non-coding RNA is filed under the name soil metagenome. RNAcentral's name for it is "partial contains 5.8S ribosomal RNA, internal transcribed spacer 2, and large subunit ribosomal RNA". The stretch from base 1 to 122 matches the Rfam family "5.8S ribosomal RNA", at positions 35 to 154 of the family's 154-position model. The record is from RNAcentral.